UUUGUAGAAACUAGAAACCCUUUAGAUCUACGAGCAGCUGCUCCCUCCGUCUCGCUCACUCAACGAAGACUCCCCCCACCUCCCUUAAUAAUCGGCGGUUUGAUGGCUUCGAAUCAAAGCCAGUCUUCUCCUCCAGAAGCAGCGCUCCGAGAUCUUUGCCGGAACCCGGUGGAUGGGUUCUCCGCGGGGUUGGUGGACGAGACCAACGUGUUCGAGUGGAGCGUCUCCAUAAUUGGUCCUCCCGACGAUCUAUAGAUGAUGACUAUGGCUGUUUUGCCUGGAUUCAACUCCACAUUUGGCGACAAAGAGAUGAUUUCCUAAUUGAAGUUUGAGAAGGAAUUGAUGGCUUAGAGAGUAGAAAUGGUGGAAAACAAGCUGAGUAUCACUGAGCAAUAGUUCAACACGGUAUGUUGUUGGAAAGUACUGAGCAUGUGGUGAACAUGAGACAACAAUGUGCAAGUUUAAGUCUUGAGAUUGACAAAAAGGGAGAGACAGACAGAAGAUAUGGUCAUACUGAGUGACCAUUGCUGAAACAACGAUGUUGGUUUCUACUUGGUCGUUGCUUUUUGUGUGACCAUUGCUGAAACAACGAUGUUGGUUUCUACUUGGCCGUUGCUUUUUGUGGGAGGGAUUGCUCCCAAGACAUAAGGGAAUUGUACUAGAGAAUGUGGGUUUUUUUUUUUUUUUUUUCCAAACUGAUGAGUUGAUGUAUGUUAAACACUUGUGGGGUUGCACACUGAUUAAUGCACAAAUGUGGUUUGUUCUAGCA
Syzygium oleosum is the source of this 769-nucleotide long non-coding RNA. RefSeq lists it as uncharacterized. The record is from RefSeq and is a predicted model, not a curated record. The transcript is spliced from 3 exons. Lineage: Eukaryota; Viridiplantae; Streptophyta; Magnoliopsida; Myrtales; Myrtaceae.